This 459-nucleotide ribosomal RNA is filed under the name uncultured bacterium. RNAcentral's name for it is "partial 16S ribosomal RNA". It matches the Rfam family "Bacterial small subunit ribosomal RNA", at positions 338 to 795 of the family's 1533-position model. The record is from RNAcentral.
CCUACGGGAGGCAGCAGUGAGGAAUAUUGGUCAAUGGUCGGGAGACUGAACCAGCUAAGCCGCGUGAGGGAUGAAGGUACAGAGUAUCGUAAACCUCUUUUGUCAGGGAACAAAGGCGGGGACGCGUCCCCGGAUGAGUGUACCUGAAGAAAAAGCAUCGGAUAACUCCGUACCAGCCGCCGCGGUAAUACGGAGGAUGCGAGCGUUAUCCGGAUGUAUUGGGUUUAACGGGUGCGCAGUCGGUCUGUUAAGUCAGCGGUCAAAGCCCGGGGCUCAACCCCGGCCCGCCGUUGAAACUGGCAGUCUCGAGUUGGAGAGAAGUAUGCGGAAUGCGCGGUGUAGCGGUGAAAUGCAUAGAUAUCGCGCAGAACUCCGAUUGCGAAGGCAGCAUGCCGGCUCCACACUGACGCUGAGGCACGAAAGCGUGGGUAUCGAACAGGAUUAGAUACCCGAGUAGUC